This is a non-coding RNA of Zootermopsis nevadensis, 73 nucleotides long. The record is from Rfam. NCBI's taxonomy places the organism in Eukaryota, Metazoa, Arthropoda, Insecta, Blattodea, Termopsidae.
GCCACGGUGGUCUAGCGGUUAGAAGGCUGGCCUUUUAAUCCUGGGGUCUCGGGUUCGAUUCCCGGCGGUGCCC